This 1441-nucleotide ribosomal RNA is filed under the name uncultured organism. Its description in RNAcentral is "SSU rRNA". It matches the Rfam family "Bacterial small subunit ribosomal RNA". The record is from RNAcentral.
ACGCUAGCUACAGGCUUAACACAUGCAAGUCGAGGGGCAGCAUUUUAGUUUGCUUGCAAACUGAAGAUGGCGACCGGCGCACGGGUGAGUAACACGUAUCCAACCUGCCGAUAACUCCGGAAUAGCCUUUCGAAAGAAAGAUUAAUACCGGAUAGCAUACGAAUAUCGCAUGAUAUUUUUAUUAAAGAAUUUCGGUUAUCGAUGGGGAUGCGUUCCAUUAGUUUGUUGGCGGGGUAACGGCCCACCAAGACUACGAUGGAUAGGGGUUCUGAGAGGAAGGUCCCCCACAUUGGAACUGAGACACGGUCCAAACUCCUACGGGAGGCAGCAGUGAGGAAUAUUGGUCAAUGGGCGAGAGCCUGAACCAGCCAAGUAGCGUGAAGGAUGAAGGCUCUAUGGGUCGUAAACUUCUUUUAUAUGGGAAUAAAGUUUUCCACGUGUGGAAUUUUGUAUGUACCAUAUGAAUAAGGAUCGGCUAACUCCGUGCCAGCAGCCGCGGUAAUACGGAGGAUCCGAGCGUUAUCCGGAUUUAUUGGGUUUAAAGGGAGCGUAGGUGGAUUGUUAAGUCAGUUGUGAAAGUUUGCGGCUCAACCGUAAAAUUGCAGUUGAAACUGGCAGUCUUGAGUACAGUAGAGGUGGGCGGAAUUCGUGGUGUAGCGGUGAAAUGCUUAGAUAUCACGAAGAACUCCGAUUGCGAAGGCAGCUCACUAGACUGUCACUGACACUGAUGCUCGAAAGUGUGGGUAUCAAACAGGAUUAGAUACCCUGGUAGUCCACACAGUAAACGAUGAAUACUCGCUGUUUGCGAUAUACAGUAAGCGGCCAAGCGAAAGCAUUAAGUAUUCCACCUGGGGAGUACGCCGGCAACGGUGAAACUCAAAGGAAUUGACGGGGGCCCGCACAAGCGGAGGAACAUGUGGUUUAAUUCGAUGAUACGCGAGGAACCUUACCCGGGCUUAAAUUGCAACAGAAUAUAUUGGAAACAGUAUAGCCGUAAGGCUGUUGUGAAGGUGCUGCAUGGUUGUCGUCAGCUCGUGCCGUGAGGUGUCGGCUUAAGUGCCAUAACGAGCGCAACCCUUAUCUUUAGUUACUAACAGGUCAUGCUGAGGACUCUAGAGAGACUGCCGUCGUAAGAUGUGAGGAAGGUGGGGAUGACGUCAAAUCAGCACGGCCCUUACGUCCGGGGCUACACACGUGUUACAAUGGGGGGUACAGAAGGCGGCUACCUGGUGACAGGAUGCUAAUCCCAAAAACCUCUCUCAGUUCGGAUCGAAGUCUGCAACCCGACUUCGUGAAGCUGGAUUCGCUAGUAAUCGCGCAUCAGCCAUGGCGCGGUGAAUACGUUCCCGGGCCUUGUACACACCGCCCGUCAAGCCAUGAAAGCCGGGGGUACCUGAAGUACGUAACCGCAAGGAGCGUCCUAGGGUAAAACUGGUAAAAG